AAACGAUGAAUACUCGCUGUUAGCGAUACACAGUUAGCGGCUAAGCGAAAGCGUUAAGUAUUCCACCUGGGGAGUACGGUCGCAAGAUUGAAACUCAAAGGAAUUGACGGGGGCCCGCACAAGCGGAGGAGCAUGUGGUUUAAUUCGAUGAUACGCGAGGAACCUUACCCGGGCUUGAAAGUUAGUGAAUCAUUUAGAGAUAGAUGAGUCCGCAAGGACACGAAACUAGGUGCUGCAUGGCUGUCGUCAG
This 250-nucleotide ribosomal RNA is filed under the name uncultured bacterium. RNAcentral describes it as "partial 16S ribosomal RNA". It matches the Rfam family "Bacterial small subunit ribosomal RNA", at positions 804 to 1058 of the family's 1533-position model. The record is from RNAcentral.